Molecule: ribosomal RNA, 500 nt
Filed under: Bifidobacterium pseudocatenulatum
Lineage: Bacteria; Bacillati; Actinomycetota; Actinomycetes; Bifidobacteriales; Bifidobacteriaceae
Description: bacterial SSU rRNA
Rfam family: Bacterial small subunit ribosomal RNA
Source: RNAcentral
CUCCUGGAAACGGGUGGUAAUGCCGGAUGCUCCGACUCCUCGCAUGGGGUGUCGGGAAAGAUUUCAUCGGUAUGGGAUGGGGUCGCGUCCUAUCAGGUAGUCGGCGGGGUAACGGCCCACCGAGCCUACGACGGGUAGCCGGCCUGAGAGGGCGACCGGCCACAUUGGGACUGAGAUACGGCCCAGACUCCUACGGGAGGCAGCAGUGGGGAAUAUUGCACAAUGGGCGCAAGCCUGAUGCAGCGACGCCGCGUGCGGGAUGACGGCCUUCGGGUUGUAAACCGCUUUUGAUCGGGAGCAAGCCUUCGGGUGAGUGUACCUUUCGAAUAAGCACCGGCUAACUACGUGCCAGCAGCCGCGGUAAUACGUAGGGUGCAAGCGUUAUCCGGAAUUAUUGGGCGUAAAGGGCUCGUAGGCGGUUCGUCGCGUCCGGUGUGAAAGUCCAUCGCUUAACGGUGGAUCUGCGCCGGGUACGGGCGGGCUGGAGUGCGGUAGGGGAG